CAGGUGCUUUGAGGGGAGGAAGCAAGCUGCCUGAGGGGGAGCUGUACAACAGUCACCUAACUCACCUGGGUGCGGAAGUCAUCUGGGGUCCCGAAGGCUCAGUCGGGGCUCAUAAAUCUCUGUUUGUGAUGACAUAAUCGGUUACGAGAGGAAUGUGGUGGUAUUGCCAGCCG
This 173-nucleotide long non-coding RNA is filed under the name Mustela putorius furo (domestic ferret). RNAcentral describes it as "lncRNA (ENSMPUG00000027397.1)". The record is from RNAcentral. Lineage: Eukaryota; Metazoa; Chordata; Mammalia; Carnivora; Mustelidae.